UGGGGGAUAUUGCACAAUGGGCGAAAGCCUGAUGCAGCGACGCCGCGUGGGGGAUGAAGGCCUUCGGGUUGUAAACUUCUUUUGCUCUGAACAAGGCAUGCCUUUGGGGUGUGUUGAGUGCAGGGGUUGAUUAGCGCCGGCUAACUACGUGCCAGCAGCCGCGGUAAUACGUAGGGCGCGAGCGUUGUCCGGAAUUAUUGGGCGUAAAGGGCUUGUAGGUGGCUGGUUGCGUCUGUCGUGAAAGCUCAUGGCUUAACUGUGGGUUUGCGGUGGGUACGGGCUGGCUUGAGUGCAGUAGGGGAGGCUGGAAUUCCUGGUGUAGCGGUGGAAUGCGCAGAUAUCAGGAGGAAUACCGGUGGCGAAGGCGGGUCUCUGGGCUGUUACUGACGCUGAGGAGCGAAAGCGUGGGGAGCGAACAGG
RNAcentral lists this ribosomal RNA (420 nucleotides) under Fusobacteriota bacterium. RNAcentral's name for it is "Fusobacteria bacterium partial 16S ribosomal RNA". It matches the Rfam family "Bacterial small subunit ribosomal RNA", at positions 355 to 776 of the family's 1533-position model. Lineage: Bacteria; Fusobacteriati; Fusobacteriota. The record is from RNAcentral.